GUGCCAGCAGCCGCGGUAAGACGUAGGAGGCGAGCGUUAUCCGGAUUCACUGGGCGUAAAGCGCAUGUAGGCGGUUGUGUAAGUCCGAUGUUAAAGCCCCUGGCUCAACUGGGGGAGGUCAUUGGAGACUACUCGACUUGAGGGCAACAGAGGCACGUGGAACUCCCGGUGUAGCGGUGGAAUGCGUAGAGAUCGGGAAGAACACCAGUGGCGAAGGCGACGUGCUGGGUUGCGACUGACGCUGAGAUGCGAAAGUGUGGGGAGCAAACGGGAUUAGAAACCCGAGUAGUCC
Molecule: ribosomal RNA, 292 nt
Filed under: uncultured bacterium
Lineage: Bacteria
Description: partial 16S ribosomal RNA
Rfam family: Bacterial small subunit ribosomal RNA
Source: RNAcentral